GAUGAACGCUGGCGGCGUGCCUAAUACAUGCAAGUCGAGCGAACGGACGAGAAGCUUGCUUUUCUGAUGUUAGCGGCGGACGGGUGAGUAACACGUGGAUAACCUACCUAUAAGACUGGGAUAACUUCGGGAAACCGGAGCUAAUACCGGAUAAUAUUUUGAACCGCAUGGUUCAAAAGUGAAAGACGGUCUUGCUGUCACUUAUAGAUGGAUCCGCGCUGCAUUAGCUAGUUGGUAAGGUAACGGCUUACCAAGGCAACGAUGCAUAGCCGACCUGAGAGGGUGAUCGGCCACACUGGAUCUGAGACACGGUCCAGACUCCUACGGGAGGCAGCAGUAGGGAAUCUUCCGCAAUGGGCGAAAGCCUGACGGAGCAACGCCGCGUGAGUGAUGAAGGUCUUCGGAUCGUAAAACUCUGUUAUUAGGGAAGAACAUAUGUGUAAGUAACUGUGCACAUCUUGACGGUACCUAAUCAGAAAGCCACGGCUAACUACGUG
RNAcentral lists this ribosomal RNA (497 nucleotides) under uncultured bacterium. Its description in RNAcentral is "partial 16S ribosomal RNA". It matches the Rfam family "Bacterial small subunit ribosomal RNA", at positions 28 to 507 of the family's 1533-position model. The record is from RNAcentral.